RNAcentral lists this ribosomal RNA (253 nucleotides) under uncultured bacterium. RNAcentral describes it as "partial 16S ribosomal RNA". It matches the Rfam family "Bacterial small subunit ribosomal RNA", at positions 1238 to 1500 of the family's 1533-position model. The record is from RNAcentral.
UACAACGAGAAGCGAGCCUGCGAAGGCAAGCGGAUCUCUUAAAGCUGUUCUCAGUUCGGACUGCAGUCUGCAACUCGACUGCACGAAGCUGGAAUCGCUAGUAAUCGCGAAUCAGAAUGUCGCGGUGAAUACGUUCCCGGGUCUUGUACACACCGCCCGUCACACCACGGAAGUUGGGGGUGCCCAAAGUUGGCAGGAUAAUAUGUUACCUAAGGCAAAACCGAUGACUGGGGUGAAGUCGUAACAAGGUAAC